CCUGACUGCUAUCGGAUUGGUACUAAGCCAUGCGAAGUCGUUGUAGCAAUACAAGGCGGACGGCUCAGUAACACGUAGUCAACCUAACUCGUGGACGUGGAUAACCUCGGGAAACUGAGAAUAAACCACGAUAGAUCAUAGUGCCCGGAAUGGCUUAUGGUCCAAACAGUUUACUGCCAUGGGAUGGGACUGCGGCCUAUCAGCUUGUUGGUGAGGUAAUGGCCCACCAAGGCGAUUACAGGUACGGGCUCUGAGAGGAGAAGCCCGGAGAUGGGUACUGAGACACGGACCCAGGCCCUAUGGGGCGCAGCAGGCGAGAAACCUUAGCAAUGUGCGAAAGCACGACUAGGUUAAUCCGAGUGAUUUCUGUUGAAGAAAUCUUUUGUCAGUCGUAAAACCACAGACGAAUAAGGGGUGGGCAAGUCUGGUGUCAGCCGCCGCGGUAAUACCAGCACCUCGAGUGGUCAGGACGUUUAUUGGGCCUAAAGCAUCCGUAGCCGGCUUUGCAAGUCUUCGGUUAAAUCCACCUGCUCAACAGAUGGGCCGCUGGAGAUACUACAGAGCUAGGGAGUGGGAGAGGCAGACGGUAUUCAGUGGGUAGGGGUAAAAUCCUCUGAUCCAUUGAGGACCACCAGUGGCGAAGGCGGUCUGCCAGAACACGUUCGACGGUGAGGGAUGAAAGCUGGGGGAGCAAACCGGAUUAGAUACCCGGGUAGUCCCAGCUGUAAACGAUGCAAACUCGGUGAUGCAUUGGCUUAUGGCCAAUGCAGUGCCGCAGGGAAGCCGUUAAGUUUGCCGCCUGGGAAGUACGGACGCAAGUCUGAAACUUAAAGGAAUUGGCGGGGGAGCACCACAAGGGGUGAAGCCUGCGGUUC
This 875-nucleotide ribosomal RNA is filed under the name uncultured crenarchaeote. RNAcentral describes it as "bacterial SSU rRNA". It matches the Rfam family "Archaeal small subunit ribosomal RNA", at positions 21 to 903 of the family's 1478-position model. Lineage: Archaea; Thermoproteati; Thermoproteota. The record is from RNAcentral.